UCCUCGAUAGCUCAGUCGGUAGAGCGUCGGACUGUUAAUCCGUAGGUCCCUGGUUCGAGCCCAGGUCGGGGAG
Candidatus Accumulibacter is the source of this 73-nucleotide transfer RNA. It matches the Rfam family "tRNA". Rfam says of the family: Transfer RNA (tRNA) molecules are approximately 80 nucleotides in length. The record is from Rfam. NCBI's taxonomy places the organism in Bacteria, Pseudomonadati, Pseudomonadota, Betaproteobacteria.